AUUGAACGCUGGCGGCAUGCCUUACACAUGCAAGUCGAACGGCAGCGGACCUUCGGGUGCCGGCGAGUGGCGAACGGGUGAGUAAUAUAUCGGAACGUACCUUUCAGUGGGGGAUAACGUAGCGAAAGUUACGCUAAUACCGCAUAUUCUGUGAGCAGGAAAGCAGGGGAUCGCAAGACCUUGCGCUGAUUGAGCGGCCGAUAUCAGAUUAGCUAGUUGGUUGAGGUAAAGGACUCACCAAGGCGGACGAUCUGUAGCGGGUCUGAGAGGAUGAUCCGCCCACACUGGAACUGAGACACGGUCCAGACUCCUACGGGAGGCAGCAGUGGGGAAGUUUUGGACAAUGGGCGCAAGCCUGAUCCAGCCAUGCCGC
This 373-nucleotide ribosomal RNA is filed under the name uncultured bacterium. RNAcentral describes it as "bacterial SSU rRNA". It matches the Rfam family "Bacterial small subunit ribosomal RNA", at positions 30 to 400 of the family's 1533-position model. The record is from RNAcentral.